Long non-coding RNA from Oreochromis aureus, 966 nucleotides. The record is from Ensembl. NCBI's taxonomy places the organism in Eukaryota, Metazoa, Chordata, Actinopteri, Cichliformes, Cichlidae.
GUAGCUAUAUCCUCUUUUAUACUUUCUGUGUAUGUAACUAGCUAGCAAAGACGGCGUAGCAUUUAGCUAGAACCAGACAUUCUGCAGCAUUUUGUCUAAAGACAAAUAUAAGCAAAGUGUCCAAAUAAGUGUUUCUCAGAGUAUAUGUAUUUGUAAGUUGAACAUGUGCCUGCAACUGUAAAUGUUAAAAUAUGGCAUCCUCUUUUUUGUAGCUAAGAAUACCUGUAUUAGCUAGCAAUCACAGUUUUAACAUGUAAUUAGAUAAGUUUAAAUUCAUUCAUUGAGCUUUUUAAUGGCAGAAAAAAUAUAUAGUGAAAAAGUAGCUUCCUCAAAACCAAUUUUGUCCUUGAGAAUUUCUGCAGAAGUAAAAUAACUUCUUCCACAGGACGAAAGAGAAUGCUAAUGAGCAUGUGCAGAGUAAGUGUAAUCUCCAGCUUGUUUAUGCUCCGCUACAAUUGCCCCAUUUUACCAAAUGCUCCCGGUCUUCUACCGCUGGUAUUUGGGAUUGUGCUACUGGUCAGUAACAAUACCACAGACAUGUUUAUAAUCUUUGUUGAUAAGAAAAUAAAUGAAAAGGGAUGAGAUAGGCCAGGGGCUGCGUUUUUUUUGGAAGGUCUAACUGAGCAUCUGCAGUGGCUCCUAGGCAUGGCUUAUUUCCUUGGUACCUAAGAGAGAGGAUGACACACAGAGACAGAGGAAAGGGGUAAAGGUCAUGGAAACGAGGGCAAACAGAUGCAUAGUGUUGUGUGGAGUGCAAUAAAAGUAGGCUAUCUUUAGAUUCUGCCAAAACACAGCUGAUGGGUUGUUGUUUUUAAAGCCUCACAGACAUUGGUUCCUGGCCUUUGGAAGUUAUAUGGACUAACUCCCUGGGUCUGCUCUCCACUGAACCAAUAAAAGGUUUUUUGCAUGGUGGCCACAUUGCACAUGCUUAGCAGAGAGUCGAGGGUUUAAACAAGAUGUAUAAAU